AUGAUGGGGUGGGGAGAGCGCGGCACACCGCCGCCGCCGAAGGGGCAGCGCAGUGAUCUCUCAGGCAGAAGGACCGGCCCCGGACG
This 86-nucleotide non-coding RNA is filed under the name Flavonifractor plautii. Its description in RNAcentral is "Glycine sequence". It matches the Rfam family "Glycine riboswitch aptamer". Rfam says of the family: This family represents the bacterial glycine riboswitch. Glycine riboswitches usually consist of two metabolite-binding aptamers domains with similar structures in tandem. The aptamers cooperatively bind glycine to regulate the expression of downstream genes. RNAcentral also lists the same sequence under 1 other name. The record is from RNAcentral. Lineage: Bacteria; Bacillati; Bacillota; Clostridia; Eubacteriales; Oscillospiraceae.